UGCAUGACAUCAGGCCAAAGUCAAACACAGGCGCCUCCCACGCCAGGGACCUUUGGCCCAGCCCUGAGGCCGGCUCAGACAGGAAGCUUUCCAGGGAAGGGGCACAGCACUGCAGGGAGGCAGCUAAGGCGGAGGUUGAGGGAGGCUGACAGCCUCGCCUGCUCCUGCCCCAGAGCCGAUGACCUGCAGGGUGACUGAGAACGGACAGGAACGGCAGCAGCGGCCACUGGUCAGACGAAUCGUGGACCCUGAGGAAGUCCGCCGUUUGAUAUCCCGUCGGUCUAGCGGACCAUCUAGCCCGUGCCUGGAGGGUCUGCCACUGUAACAAAGAGAAGCUGCCUCCAUUUCCAACCCAGACCUCCCCGCCAACUACCUGCCUCACGUUCUCGGUGUUCACUCCCUGCCUGUUACUGCCUCGUGCUCCUUCCCAAGGGGCCCUAUCCCCUCUGCAUCCCGCAGCGGAACCCAAGGGCAGGACGAGCCGCGCCAGGCCGGAGAAGCUGCGCGGGAGUGGUCCUCCCGGAAGUGGGCCCCCCCACGGGAUUCCCCCGCCCCCAGGCUCAGAGCUCCGAACCCACCUGCCCCAGUGCGGCUGCGGCCAUGAUCGGUGCGGCGGGUAACUGUGCCCGCCAGGGGCGCGCCCUGGGAGAGAGACGUUCCGGCUCCGCCCCGCUCACGCCCUCUCCGGCAGGGUAACAGGGGGCCACGCGAGACCGGCCCGGCCUCCCCUGCUGGAGGGUGCCCCGGGACUCGGGCGCUGCUGCUGAAUGCACGCGCUGGGAGGGGCGGGAGUUGAUACCCCCUGCCCCAGCCCCCACCGGGCCUGUUCAGACACUCCGAGCAGUGCGAGAUCGUGCCCACUGCAAGUUCCAAAAAUGCAUUCUCCUAGGGUCUGCCUGGAGCCCUGGCGCGGACUAGCAGGCCAGGUAACGAGGGGGAGGGUAAGAAGCAGAAAGCUCCGUGUGUCCACCCCUCCGGAAAAGGAAAAGCACCCUGGGCACAGAGGCGAGGUCUUCAGAAAGUUCACGGAGAAUGUGCAUUGUGGGAAAACCACACGGACCUCAAGUGUUAUUGCACCAAAAUAAACUUGUGCUUUAAUUCCA
This is a long non-coding RNA of Tupaia belangeri chinensis (Chinese tree shrew), 1103 nucleotides long. RefSeq lists it as uncharacterized. Lineage: Eukaryota; Metazoa; Chordata; Mammalia; Scandentia; Tupaiidae. The record is from RefSeq and is a predicted model, not a curated record. The transcript has 4 exons.